GGGCCCAUAGCUCAGUUGGUUAGAGCAGUCGGCUCAUAACCGAAAGAUCCCUGGUUCGAGUCCAGGUGGGCCCACCA
RNAcentral lists this transfer RNA (77 nucleotides) under Candidatus Babeliales bacterium. RNAcentral describes it as "tRNA-Ile". It matches the Rfam family "tRNA". Rfam says of the family: Transfer RNA (tRNA) molecules are approximately 80 nucleotides in length. Their secondary structure includes four short double-helical elements and three loops (D, anti-codon, and T loops). The record is from RNAcentral. Lineage: Bacteria; Candidatus Babeliae; Candidatus Babeliales.